Molecule: ribosomal RNA, 1437 nt
Filed under: uncultured organism
Description: SSU rRNA
Rfam family: Bacterial small subunit ribosomal RNA
Source: RNAcentral
CUUAACACAUGCAAGUCGAGGGGCAGCACAGGUAGCAAUACCGGGUGGCGACCGGCGCACGGGUGAGUAACGCGUAUGCAACUUACCUAUCAGAGGGGGAUAACCCGGCGAAAGUCGGACUAAUACCGCAUGAAGCAGGGGCCCCGCAUGGGGAUAUUUGCUAAAGAUUCAUCGCUGAUAGAUAGGCAUGCGUUCCAUUAGGCAGUUGGCGGGGUAACGGCCCACCAAACCGACGAUGGAUAGGGGUUCUGAGAGGAAGGUCCCCCACAUUGGUACUGAGACACGGACCAAACUCCUACGGGAGGCAGCAGUGAGGAAUAUUGGUCAAUGGCCGAGAGGCUGAACCAGCCAAGUCGCGUGAGGGAUGAAGGUUCUAUGGAUCGUAAACCUCUUUUAUAAGGGAAUAAAGUGCGGGACGUGUCCCGUUUUGUAUGUACCUUAUGAAUAAGGAUCGGCUAACUCCGUGCCAGCAGCCGCGGUAAUACGGAGGAUCCGAGCGUUAUCCGGAUUUAUUGGGUUUAAAGGGUGCGUAGGCGGCCUUUUAAGUCAGCGGUGAAAGUCUGUGGCUCAACCAUAGAAUUGCCGUUGAAACUGGGGGGCUUGAGUAUGUUUGAGGCAGGCGGAAUGCGUGGUGUAGCGGUGAAAUGCAUAGAUAUCACGCAGAACCCCGAUUGCGAAGGCAGCCUGCCAAGCCAUUACUGACGCUGAUGCACGAAAGCGUGGGGAUCAAACAGGAUUAGAUACCCUGGUAGUCCACGCAGUAAACGAUGAUCACUAGCUGUUUGCGAUACACUGUAAGCGGCACAGCGAAAGCGUUAAGUGAUCCACCUGGGGAGUACGCCGGCAACGGUGAAACUCAAAGGAAUUGACGGGGGCCCGCACAAGCGGAGGAACAUGUGGUUUAAUUCGAUGAUACGCGAGGAACCUUACCCGGGUUUGAACGCAUUCGGACCGAGGUGGAAACACCUUUUCUGGCAAUAGCCGUUUGCGAGGUGCUGCAUGGUUGUCGUCAGCUCGUGCCGUGAGGUGUCGGCUUAAGUGCCAUAACGAGCGCAACCCUUGCCACUAGUUACUAACAGGUAAAGCUGAGGACUCUGGUGGGACUGCCAGCGUAAGCUGCGAGGAAGGCGGGGAUGACGUCAAAUCAGCACGGCCCUUACAUCCGGGGCGACACACGUGUUACAAUGGCGUGGACAAAGGGAAGCCACCUGGCGACAGGGAGCGAAUCCCCAAACCACGUCUCAGUUCGGAUCGGAGUCUGCAACUCGCCUGCAUGAAGCCGGAAUCGCUAGUAAUCGCGGAUCAGCAUGCCGCGGUGAAUACGUUCCCGGGCCUUGUACACACCGCCCGUCAAGCCAUGGGAGCCGGGGGUACCUGAAGUCCGUAACCGCGAGGAUCGGCCUAGGGUAAAACUGGUGACUGGGGCUAAGUCAUAAC